GAUGAACGCUGGCGGCGUGCCUAAUACAUGCAAGUCGAGCGAACAGACGAGGAGCUUGCUCCUCUGACGUUAGCGGCGGACGGGUGAGUAACACGUGGAUAACCUACCUAUAAGACUGGGAUAACUUCGGGAAACCGGAGCUAAUACCGGAUAAUAUAUUGAACCGCAUGGUUCAAUAGUGAAAGACGGUUUUGCUGUCACUUAUAGGUGGAUCCGCGCCGCAUUAGCUAGUUGGUAAGGUAACGGCUUACCAAGGCAACGAUGCGUAGCCGACCUGAGAGGGUGAUCGGCCACACUGGAACUGAGACACGGUCCAGACUCCUACGGGAGGCAGCAGUAGGGAAUCGUCCGCAAUGGGCGAAAGCCUGACGGAGCAACGCCGCGUGAGUGAUGAAGGUCUUCGGAUCGUAAAACUCUGUUAUUAGGGAAGAACAAAUGUGUAAGUAACUAUGCACGUCUUGACGGUACCUAAUCAGAAAGCCACGGCUAACUACGUG
This 497-nucleotide ribosomal RNA is filed under the name uncultured bacterium. Its description in RNAcentral is "partial 16S ribosomal RNA". It matches the Rfam family "Bacterial small subunit ribosomal RNA", at positions 28 to 507 of the family's 1533-position model. The record is from RNAcentral.